GCGCCUUUAAGAGCCAUGCAGAAGCGCUAGCGUGUGUGUGUAUGCGAGUGAGAGUGAGAGUGAGAGAGAGUGUGUAUGCGAGUGUGUGUGUAUGUGCAUGUGUGUGUCAGCCGUACCCAUCAUGGCCCCUGAGCAGCAGCUGAUCAGACGGACCGCAGCUCCGCCAUCCUCCUCCAGCGAGCAGCGGCACCGGUGAAGAGGCUCCAUGUGUCCCCCAUCCUCGGUCAGAUUUCUGAGCAAGAGGGCCGCGCUCCAGCCGCCCAGCGCGAACAUGAAUAAGGAUUAUUCCAUUAAUCUAUCGGUGCAGCAAGUGCUCAGCCUGUGGGUCCAGGGCACGGUACCGACUCUACAGCACUUCACAGGUGCAGCAGUGGCAGGUGUGUACCGUGUGGCAGGGAAGGACAUGGCUCCUCUUGAAGCUCUGGUGUUUGGGGUGGGCCAGACCACUUUCACCGUCAUCAUCUCAUUCUCACGGAUCUUGGCCACUCUUUAAAUGGACUGAAAGCAUCAUUGACUGACACACCCAACAGCCAAUCGGCCGGCAGAAGAGCCGGGGUCGAGGUGAGUGGGGUUUAACCACAGAGGUUUGGCCUGCGGUACAAAACGAUGAGCUUUAGGAGUCACUAAUGGCCAAUGGACCACUAUAUGAAACCCUCUGGAAUGGCAGUCUUGGAGAUUUGAACAUUUCAAGAAGCAAAAACAGCAUUAUAGGCCAAUGACUCAAUCAACAUGCCAACUGCCUCGGUGGAGGAUUGAGAUGAAUCUUCGGAUGUCUGUUUGUCUUUGUUAAACAUUUGUUUUGUUUUUGCACAUGGAUCGCUUCAGCUUUAUGGAAACUGGGUGGUUUUGGAGCCGUAGCUGGGCUGUAACGCCAAGAUGGAUGCAUCGAAAACAUCCUCCAAUAAUUUGACUGUCAAUAUGUCUGUCUGUCCUCAAACAUUUUCUAAUUCUACUCUGCUGAAUGGCCUGAAACAUUCCUGUUUGUAUUAUUAUAGAUUUUCCCUCUGGUCCAGCAGUAUUACCACAUCCAGUUUUCUUCUUCCA
RNAcentral lists this long non-coding RNA (1044 nucleotides) under Sinocyclocheilus grahami. Its description in RNAcentral is "lncRNA (ENSSGRG00000044410.1)". The record is from RNAcentral. Lineage: Eukaryota; Metazoa; Chordata; Actinopteri; Cypriniformes; Cyprinidae.